Cinara cedri is the source of this 1086-nucleotide non-coding RNA. Lineage: Eukaryota; Metazoa; Arthropoda; Insecta; Hemiptera; Aphididae. The record is from the annotation of a GenBank genome assembly.
AAUAUUAUACACGAACGCCGCCACCGCCGCCGCCGCUUUGUACAGUGUAUGCAGGGUAAUUUUUUUUUUUUUUUUAUCACGGUCCAGCGAGAUUUCGUCGUUUGAGGAUUCUAAACGAAUUCGAUUUUCGAUUUUUUUUUUCCCGCAAUCAUUAUUUUCACACCGUUUUCAAAACGACACCCACUAUUAUACACUGGUUUCACUAUUUCUCAAACGAGUAUUGCCGUUUGAUUUUAACCCUCCUUCGUACGCGUUUUUGAUUUUUUACAUCAAAUUCGAAAGGUCAGGUUUCUUUCUAAUCAUUUCAAUACGCACAACACCAUAAUUUAGACCGGAGUAACAUCAGUCGGGAAUCGUAUCGAUUUCUCACCACCGUCCUCGAUCGCGAUAAUUCAAACCGUGUUCUGUACGUAACGGUAAAUGUCGGUUUGAAAAGGCGACGGGUAGUAAAGUCGCUCACAAGUGUUUUAUGUUGACGUGAUUAUCGAGGGUUACGGAAUAAAACUGUAUAGAAAUUUCGAAAAUAUCGUCUAGACUGUCUAGACACGAUCGUUGUUGAACGGGGUUCGGUAUAAUUGCCGAAAUAUAUCCGAAAUCGAUUUUACCCAAAUAUCCGAACGCGGUAGGCGUACAUGCCCAAUCGCCGGACCGUGAUUAUAUUGUAUAGAAAUCGUCCUGUAUUUAUUAUAUUAUACGCGUAAUACACCGUGUACACAAUCUAUAAGUGGAUAAAAAAAUUAUGUAUAUAUAUUGAUAAAAAAAAAAAAACAAACGAACACAAUCGUUAUAUUGUCAUGAUAAUACGUAUAAUUAUAAUAACGCAAAACGACCGCCGGUAUCAUAAUAGAGGAGAUACCUGCCUAAUAUUAUAUACUGGCCGCGCAUUUGCAGUUGCGUCCGCGUGCGGAAUACGGUAGUAGAUUUUUUUUUUUUUGUAAUCUCGUUGUCGCCCGUUUUUUUUUCAAAUUGUAUUUUAUGGUUGAUAAUAAUAACGUACGCUAUACACUGUAAUAAUAAUAAUUGAUACGGUGUCGGUUCUUCGGUCGGUUUUCUUUUUUUUUAUUAUUAUUAUUUUUUUUUUUUUUA